UACGAGGACGAACGCUGGCGGCGUGCCUAACACAUGCAAGUCGAGCGAGGAGAUUCCUUCGGGAUGAUCCUAGCGGCGGACGGGUGAGUAACACGUGGGCAACCUGCCUCAUAGAGAGGAAUAGCCUUCCGAAAGGGAGAUUAAUACCUCAUAACAUUGCAGUUUCGCAUGGAACAGCAAUUAAAGGAGCAAUCCACUAUGAGAUGGGCCCGCGGCGCAUUAGCUAGUUGGUGAGGUAACGGCUCACCAAGGCGACGAUGCGUAGCCGACAUGAGAGGGUGAUCGGCCACAUUGGGACUGAGACACGGCCCAGACUCCUACGGGAGGCAGCAGUGGGGAAUAUUGCACAAUGGGGGAAACCCUGAUGCAGCCAACGCCGCGUGAGUGAUGACGGCCUUCGGGUUGUAAAGCUCUGUCUUCAGGGACGAUAAUGACGGUACCUGAGGAGGAAGCCACGGCUAACUACGUGCCAGCAGCUGC
This 480-nucleotide ribosomal RNA is filed under the name uncultured bacterium. Its description in RNAcentral is "bacterial SSU rRNA". It matches the Rfam family "Bacterial small subunit ribosomal RNA", at positions 26 to 518 of the family's 1533-position model. The record is from RNAcentral.